AGCAGCCGCGGUAAUUCCAGCUCCAAUAGCGUAUAUUAAAGUUGUUGCAGUUAAAAAGCUCGUAGUUGGAUUUCUGGGAUGUGAGUUAUCAGAGGAGAGUGUGGAUUUAUUUCUGCCUCUCCUUUACACUCUAUCCCAUUUUUUCCUGCAUGUGCAUGCUGGCUGCGCUUUAUUGUGUGGUUGGUGUGUGUGCAGGGCUUUACUUUGAAAAAAUUAGAGUGUUCAAAGCAGGCUAUAUUGAAUUGCUUGAAUAGAUUAGCAUGGAAUAAUGGAAGAGGACUUUGGGCCUGUUUCUGUUGGUUUUUUUUACUGGGUCUGGAGUA
This 323-nucleotide ribosomal RNA is filed under the name uncultured Glomus. Its description in RNAcentral is "partial small subunit ribosomal RNA". It matches the Rfam family "Eukaryotic small subunit ribosomal RNA", at positions 569 to 871 of the family's 1831-position model. The record is from RNAcentral. Lineage: Eukaryota; Fungi; Glomeromycota; Glomeromycetes; Glomerales; Glomeraceae.